GACGAACGCUGGCGGCGUGCCUAAUACAUGCAAGUCGAACGAACCGCGACUAGGUGCGUGCACUUGGUCAAGGUGAGUGGCGAACGGGUGAGUAACACGUGGGUAACCUACCUCAUAGUGGGGGAUAACAGUCGGAAACGACUGCUAAUACCGCAUAGGACAUAGGAUCACAUGAUCCAGUGAGGAAAGGUGGCGCAAGCUAUCGCUACGAGAUGGACCCGCGGUGCAUUAGCUAGUUGGUAGGGUAAAGGCCUACCAAGGCGAUGAUGCAUAGCCGACCUGAGAGGGUGAUCGGCCACAUUGGGACUGAGACACGGCCCAAACUCCUACGGGAGGCAGCAGUAGGGAAUCUUCCGCAAUGGACGCAAGUCUGACGGAGCAACGCCGCGUGAGUGAAGAAGGUCUUCGGAUCGUAAAGCUCUGUUGUUAGAGAAGAACAGCGCAUAGAGUAACUGUUAUGCGUGUGACGGUAUCUAACCAGAAAGCCACGGCUAACUACGUG
This 502-nucleotide ribosomal RNA is filed under the name uncultured bacterium. RNAcentral describes it as "partial 16S ribosomal RNA". It matches the Rfam family "Bacterial small subunit ribosomal RNA", at positions 28 to 507 of the family's 1533-position model. The record is from RNAcentral.